Patiria miniata (bat star) is the source of this 71-nucleotide small nucleolar RNA. The record is from RefSeq and is a predicted model, not a curated record. Lineage: Eukaryota; Metazoa; Echinodermata; Asteroidea; Valvatida; Asterinidae.
GUAACAGUGAUGAAUAACAUUACCGCCCCAGUCUGAUUGCUGUGACUGAUUGGUAUGCAAACUGAGUUUCC